This 1313-nucleotide ribosomal RNA is filed under the name Layahima valida. Its description in RNAcentral is "16S ribosomal RNA". The stretch from base 854 to 1248 matches the Rfam family "Bacterial large subunit ribosomal RNA", at positions 2049 to 2651 of the family's 2925-position model. The record is from RNAcentral. Lineage: Eukaryota; Metazoa; Arthropoda; Insecta; Neuroptera; Myrmeleontidae.
UACAGGGUGAAAUUACUAUUUUUUUAAGUUAUUUUAUUUUAUAAUUUAAGUAAAUUUAUUUUUAUUUGUUUUUGUAUUUAUUAGAUUAAAUAAUUUUAGUAAUAGUUAAUUAGUACGGUGGCGGAACUUUUUAUUUUAAUGUAUUGUUUAAAAAGUAUAAUUGUUUUUUUGUACCUUUUGUAUCAGGGUUUAUUUAAAUUUGAUUAUUUAUUUAUAUUGUUCUCGAAUUCAAUAGAGCUAAGAUUUUAUGAAAUUUAUUGUUGCAAAACUAUUUUAAAUAUAAUUUUAGUUGUGAUACGUUAAUCGUUAUUGAAUAUAUCUAGUUUUUCAAGAUUUAUAUUUAAUUUAUAAAUUUAAUUUUCAUUAUUUUUUUUUAGAAAUUUAUUGAACUUAAAUUUAGAGAAUCUCGGGGAUAAGCUUGGGAUUUUGUAUUAUAAAUUGGCAAUAUUUAUUAUUAUAAUUAGUAGGAUUAGAAAUUUUUAUCUUUUUAUAAAGUGUUAUAAUUAAUUUUUGUUUUAAUAAAAUUUGUUUUUUUUUUAAUUUUUUUAUUGAAAUAUUUUAUUAAAUUAUUAAUAUUAGAAAUAAUGAUAAAAUUAGUAUUAUUUUUUGUUUAUAUAAAAGAUUUAUUUAGAUGGAAUUAAGGAAUUCGGCAAUAAUUACACUCGCCUGUUUAUCAAAAACAUGUCUUUUUGAUUAUAAUAUAAAGUCUAACCUGCCCACUGAUUUUAUUGAAGGGCCGCAGUAUCUUGACUGUGCAAAGGUAGCAUAAUCAUUUGCCUUUUAAUUAGAGGCUGGAAUGAAUGGUUGAACGAAGUGUAAGCUGUCUCAUUUUUAUAAUUUAAGAAUUUAGCUUUUUAGUUAAAAGGCUAAAAUGUUGUUAGAGGACGAGAAGACCCUAUAGAACUUUAUAAUUUGUUUAUUAAAAAAUUAUAGUUUAAUAUUUUUUUUUAUUAAUUUGAUUAUUUUGUUGGGGUGACAGGAAGAUAUAUAAAACUCUUUUGAUUAGUGAGACACAAAUUAGUGAUUUUUUGAUCCAUUAUUAUUGAUUAUUAGAAUAAGUUACCUUAGGGAUAACAGCGUAAUUUUAUUGGAGAGUUCAUAUUGAUAAUAAAGUUUGCGACCUCGAUGUUGAAUUAAAGAAAUUUUUGAGUGCAGAAGCUUGAAGAAAUAGGUCUGUUCGACCUUUAAAUCUUUACAUGAUUUGAGUUCAGACCGGCGUGAGCCAGGUCGGUUUCUAUCCUUAAUAAGUUGUUAUAAUUUAGUACGAAAGGACCAGUUAUGAGAAAAAUUUUUUUAAUUUAUUGAAUAAAAUU